GUCCUAGCCGUAAACGGUGCAUGUUUGCUGUAAAAGGAAUCGACCCCUUUUGUGGCGUAGCCAACGCGUUAAACAUGCCGCCUGGGAAGUACGGUCGCAAGAUUAAAACUCAAAGAAAUUGACGGGGGCCUGCACAAGCGGUGGAGUAUGUGGCUCAAUUCGAUGCAACGCGAAGAACCUUACCUGGCCUUGACAUGUACGUAGUAGAAGGGUGAAAGCCUGACGACCUCGCAAGAGGAGCGUACACAGGUGCUGCAUGGCUGUCGU
This 267-nucleotide ribosomal RNA is filed under the name uncultured bacterium. Its description in RNAcentral is "partial 16S ribosomal RNA". It matches the Rfam family "Bacterial small subunit ribosomal RNA", at positions 793 to 1055 of the family's 1533-position model. The record is from RNAcentral.